RNAcentral lists this small nuclear RNA (71 nucleotides) under Gorilla gorilla gorilla (western lowland gorilla). Its description in RNAcentral is "U4 spliceosomal RNA". It matches the Rfam family "U4 spliceosomal RNA", at positions 1 to 71 of the family's 138-position model. Rfam says of the family: U4 small nuclear RNA (U4 snRNA) is a component of the major U2-dependent spliceosome. The structure of U4 snRNA from yeast and human has been reported. U4 snRNA presents a k-turn RNA motif in the 5p-SL related to recognition of Snu13 protein. The record is from Rfam by way of RNAcentral. Lineage: Eukaryota; Metazoa; Chordata; Mammalia; Primates; Hominidae.
AGCUUUGCGCAGUGGCAGUAUCACAGCCAAUGAGGUUUACUCGAGGAGUGAUUAUUGCUAAUUGAAAAACU